GAACUGGAUCUGGACCCUUU
Molecule: non-coding RNA, 20 nt
Filed under: Mus musculus (house mouse)
Lineage: Eukaryota; Metazoa; Chordata; Mammalia; Rodentia; Muridae
Source: RNAcentral